Molecule: ribosomal RNA, 112 nt
Filed under: Escherichia coli
Lineage: Bacteria; Pseudomonadati; Pseudomonadota; Gammaproteobacteria; Enterobacterales; Enterobacteriaceae
Also listed under: 5 other names
Source: RNAcentral
GCGGCCUUAGCGCGGUGGUCCCACCUGACCCCAUGCCGAACUCAGAAGUGAAACGCCGUAGCGCCGAUGGUAGUGUGGGGUCUCCCCAUGCGAGAGUAGGGAACUGCCAGGC